This 497-nucleotide ribosomal RNA is filed under the name uncultured bacterium. RNAcentral describes it as "partial 16S ribosomal RNA". It matches the Rfam family "Bacterial small subunit ribosomal RNA", at positions 28 to 507 of the family's 1533-position model. The record is from RNAcentral.
GAAGAACGCUGGCGGCGUGCCUAAUACAUGCAAGUCGAGCGAACAGAUAAGGAGCUUGCUCCUUUGACGUUAGCGGCGGACGGGUGAGUAACACGUGGGUAACCUACCUAUAAGACUGGGAUAACUUCGGGAAACCGGAGCUAAUACCGGAUAAUAUUUCGAACCGCAUGGUUCGAUAGUGAAAGAUGGUUUUGCUAUCACUUAUAGAUGGACCCGCGCCGUAUUAGCUAGUUGGUAAGGUAACGGCUUACCAAGGCGACGAUACGUAGCCGACCUGAGAGGGUGAUCGGCCACACUGGAACUGAGACACGGUCCAGACUCCUACGGGAGGCAGCAGUAGGGAAUCUUCCGCAAUGGGCGAAAGCCUGACGGAGCAACGCCGCGUGAGUGAUGAAGGUCUUCGGAUCGUAAAACUCUGUUAUUAGGGAAGAACAUACGUGUAAGUAACUGUGCACGUCUUGACGGUACCUAAUCAGAAAGCCACGGCUAACUACGUG